Lasiosphaeria hispida is the source of this 87-nucleotide non-coding RNA. Lineage: Eukaryota; Fungi; Ascomycota; Sordariomycetes; Sordariales; Lasiosphaeriaceae. The record is from the annotation of a GenBank genome assembly.
GCCCGCAUGGUCUAGUGGUUACGACGUUCGCCUCACACUCCAAACAGUGGACGCGACAGGUCCCAGGUUCGAUACCUGGUGUGGGCA